UGCAAGUCGAGCGGAACGAGUUAUCUGAACCUUCGGGGAACGAUAACGGCGUCGAGCGGCGGACGGGUGAGUAAUGCCUAGGAAAUUGCCCUGAUGUGGGGGAUAACCAUUGGAAACGAUGGCUAAUACCGCAUGAUGCCUACGGGCCAAAGAGGGGGACCUUCGGGCCUCUCGCGUCAGGAUAUGCCUAGGUGGGAUUAGCUAGUUGGUGAGGUAAGGGCUCACCAAGGCGACGAUCCCUAGCUGGUCUGAGAGGAUGAUCAGCCACACUGGAACUGAGACACGGUCCAGACUCCUACGGGAGGCAGCAGUGGGGAAUAUUGCACAAUGGGCGCAAGCCUGAUGCAGCCAUGCCGCGUGUGUGAAGAAGGCCUUCGGGUUGUAAAGCACUUUCAGUCGUGAGGAAGGUGGUGUAGUUAAUAGCUGCAUUAUUUGACGUUAGCGACAGAAGAAGCACCGGCUAACUCCGUGCCAGCAGCCGCGGUAAUACGGAGGGUGCGAGCGUUAAUCGGAAUUACUGGGCGUAAAGCGCAUGCAGGUGGUUUGUUAAGUCAGAUGUGAAAGCCCGGGGCUCAACCUCGGAAUAGCAUUUGAAACUGGCAGACUAGAGUACUGUAGAGGGGGGUAGAAUUUCAGGUGUAGCGGUGAAAUGCGUAGAGAUCUGAAGGAAUACCGGUGGCGAAGGCGGCCCCCUGGACAGAUACUGACACUCAGAUGCGAAAGCGUGGGGAGCAAACAGGAUUAGAUACCCUGGUAGUCCACGCCGUAAACGAUGUCUACUUGGAGGUUGUGGCCUUGAGCCGUGGCUUUCGGAGCUAACGCGUUAAGUAGACCGCCUGGGGAGUACGGUCGCAAGAUUAAAACUCAAAUGAAUUGACGGGGGCCCGCACAAGCGGUGGAGCAUGUGGUUUAAUUCGAUGCAACGCGA
This 928-nucleotide ribosomal RNA is filed under the name bacterium. RNAcentral describes it as "bacterial SSU rRNA". It matches the Rfam family "Bacterial small subunit ribosomal RNA", at positions 56 to 964 of the family's 1533-position model. The record is from RNAcentral.